UGUAAGCGUAUACCAAAGUUGUUGCAGUUAAAACGCUCGUAGUCGGAAUUUGGCAGUUCCGGAAGUGUGCACGUCGUGUGCGCACUUUGCGGGGACUGCUUUUGUGGUCUUGCGUAGGAUGAGGCACUUUCAUUAGUGAACGUCCUCACGCAACCACUCUUUACUGUGAGAAAAUCAGAGUGCUCAAAGCAGGCAUUUGCCGUGAAUGUAUUAGCAUGGAGUAAUAGAAUAGGACUCGGUUCUAUUUUGUUGGUUUGUUGGGACUGAGUAAUGAUUAAGAGGGACAGUUGGGGGCAUUUGUAUUCCGGCGCUAGAGGUGAAAUUCUUAGAUUGCCGGAAGACAAACUGCUGCGAAAGCGUCUGCCAAGGAUGUUUUCAUUGA
This 382-nucleotide ribosomal RNA is filed under the name uncultured eukaryote. RNAcentral's name for it is "partial 18S ribosomal RNA". It matches the Rfam family "Eukaryotic small subunit ribosomal RNA", at positions 592 to 976 of the family's 1831-position model. The record is from RNAcentral.